UACGUAGGGUGCGAGCGUUAAUCGGAAUUACUGGGCGUAAAGCGUGCGCAGGCGGUUCGUUAAGUCAGAUGUGAAAGCCCCGGGCUCAACCUGGGAACUGCAUUUGAAACUGGCGGGCUUGAGUGCGGCAGAGGGGGGUGGAAUUCCACGUGUAGCAGUGAAAUGCGUAGAGAUGUGGAGGAACACCGAUGGCGAAGGCAGCCUCCUGGGCCAGCACUGACGCUCAUGCACGAAAGCGUGGGGAGCAAACAGG
This 253-nucleotide ribosomal RNA is filed under the name uncultured bacterium. RNAcentral's name for it is "partial 16S ribosomal RNA". It matches the Rfam family "Bacterial small subunit ribosomal RNA", at positions 524 to 776 of the family's 1533-position model. The record is from RNAcentral.